RNAcentral lists this ribosomal RNA (468 nucleotides) under uncultured bacterium. Its description in RNAcentral is "bacterial SSU rRNA". It matches the Rfam family "Bacterial small subunit ribosomal RNA", at positions 917 to 1382 of the family's 1533-position model. The record is from RNAcentral.
GGGCCCGCACAAGCGGUGGAGUAUGUGGUUUAAUUCGAUGCAACGCGAAGAACCUUACCUAGGUUUGACAUCCCUCGAACCCUCCUGAAAGGGAGGGGUGCCCUUCGGGGAGCGGGGUGACAGGUGCUGCAUGGCUGUCGUCAGCUCGUGCCGUGAGGUGUUGGGUUAAGUCCCGCAACGAGCGCAACCCUUGUCCUUAGUUGCCAGCAGGUAAGGCUGGGCACUCUAGGGAGACCGCCUCGGUCAACGGGGAGGAAGGUGGGGACGACGUCAAGUCAUCAUGGCCCUUACGCCUAGGGCUACACACGUACUACAAUGGCGGAUACAAAGGGUAGCGAAGCCGCAAGGUGAAGCCAAUCUCAAAAAAUCCGUCCCAGUCCGGAUCGGGGUCUGCAACUCGACCCCGUGAAGUCGGAAUCGCUAGUAAUCGGAGAUCAGCAUGCUCCGGUGAAUACGUUCCCGGGCCUU